GCUUGGUAAAGACAAGACAAUCUGUGGUUCAUCAAGACAAUCAGAACGACGGGAGCAUGGCGGUAAGAAUGAACUGAAUUUGUUUGUUUUAUUGAAACAUGACAGGCAGACAGAUAGUCUGACUGCACACCUGAGCAGGUGGACAGAUCUCUGUAGAUAUAACCUCUGUGAGUGUCUUUACUGGAACUAAACCCUUACAGUUUACAGGUGAGAAAAAUAUUUUUCUAACUCAGUGACACUUCAGAGUUUUUGACUCAUCUAUAGUACUUUCUUUCUUUUAGCCGCCCAAGUCCUCCCAGUCAAACUACAGCACAAAGCUGAAAGACAGCCCAGCAGAAAACCUGGAGUCUGUUUACGAGGACCCCGACGCUCUGAGGCCAUCCAAACUCUCCCAGUCAAACUACAGCUCAGCAGAAAACCUGGAGUCUGUUUAUGAGGACCCCGACGCUCUGAGGGACUACCAGGCUGACAGGCUCCCUACAGACUGUCAGAGGCCUCGCCCUGUCCGUCCUCCUCCCAGACCACCAGCCAGCAUGAAGCCCAAAGCAGGCGUCGGAGCACACAGUAAUUACAGGAGGAC
Parambassis ranga (Indian glassy fish) is the source of this 580-nucleotide long non-coding RNA. The record is from Ensembl. NCBI's taxonomy places the organism in Eukaryota, Metazoa, Chordata, Actinopteri, Ambassidae.